GGGCCCGCACAAGCGGUGGAGCAUGUGGUUUAAUUCGAUGCAACGCGAAGAACCUUACCUGCCCUUGACAUCCUCGGAAGGGACCGGAAACGGACCCGUGCCUUCGGGAACCGAGAGACAGGUGCUGCAUGGCUGUCGUCAGCUCGUGUCGUGAGAUGUUGGGUUAAGUCCCGUAACGAGCGCAACCCCUAUCCUUAGUUGCCAGCACGUAAUGGUGGGAACUCUAGGGAGACUGCCGGUGAUAAACCGGAGGAAGGUGGGGAUGACGUCAAGUCAUCAUGCCCCUUAUGUCCAGGGCUGCACGCAUGCUACAAUGGCAAGUACAACGAGCCGCAAUACCGCGAGGUGGAGCAAAUCUCUUAAAGCUUGUCUCAGUUCGGAUAGGAGUCUGCAACUCGACUCCUUGAAGUUGGAGUCGCUAGUAA
RNAcentral lists this ribosomal RNA (425 nucleotides) under uncultured bacterium. RNAcentral describes it as "bacterial SSU rRNA". It matches the Rfam family "Bacterial small subunit ribosomal RNA", at positions 917 to 1341 of the family's 1533-position model. The record is from RNAcentral.